ACGAACGCUGGCGGCGUGCCUAAUACCUGCAAGUUGAGCGCUGAAGGUUGGUACUUGUACCAACUGGAUGAGCAGCGAACGGGUGAGUAACGCGUGGGGAAUCUGCCUUUGAGCGGGGGACAACAUUUGGAAACGAAUGCUAAUACCGCAUAAAAACUUUAAACACAAGUUUUAAGUUUGAAAGAUGCAAUUGCAUCACUCAAAGAUGAUCCCGCGUUGUAUUAGCUAGUUGGUGCGGUAAAGGCUCACCAAGGCGAUGAUACAUAGCCGACCUGAGAGGGUGAUCGGCCACACUGGGACGGAGACACGGCCCAAACUCCUACGGGAGGCAGCAGUAGGGAAUCUUCGGCAAUGGACGAAAGUCUGAACGAGCAACGCCGCGUGAGUGAAGAAGGUUUUCGGAUCGUAAAACUCUGUUGGUAGAGAAGAACGUUGGUGAGAGUGGAAAGCUCAGCAAGUGACGGUAACUACCCAGAAAGCGACGGCUAACUACGUG
Molecule: ribosomal RNA, 496 nt
Filed under: uncultured bacterium
Lineage: Bacteria
Description: partial 16S ribosomal RNA
Rfam family: Bacterial small subunit ribosomal RNA
Source: RNAcentral